Molecule: ribosomal RNA, 506 nt
Filed under: uncultured bacterium
Lineage: Bacteria
Description: partial 16S ribosomal RNA
Rfam family: Bacterial small subunit ribosomal RNA
Source: RNAcentral
AGUGAACGCUGGCGGUAGGCCUAACACAUGCAAGUCGAACGGCAGCACAGGAGAGCUUGCUCUCUGGGUGGCGAGUGGCGGACGGGUGAGGAAUACAUCGGAAUCUACUCUGUCGUGGGGGAUAACGUAGGGAAACUUACGCUAAUACCGCAUACGACCUACGGGUGAAAGCAGGGGAUCUUCGGACCUUGCGCGAUUGAAUGAGCCGAUGUCGGAUUAGCUAGUUGGCGGGGUAAAGGCCCACCAAGGCGACGAUCCGUAGCUGGUCUGAGAGGAUGAUCAGCCACACUGGAACUGAGACACGGGCCGGACUCCUACGGGAGGCAGCAGUGGGGAAUAUUGGACAAUGGGCGCAAGCCUGAUCCAGCCAUACCGCGUGGGUGAAGAAGGCCUUCGGGUUGUAAAGCCCUUUUGUUGGGAAAGAAAUCCAGCUGGCUAAUACCCGGUUGGGAUGACGGUACCCAAAGAAUAAGCACCGGCUAACUUCGUGCCAGCCGCCGCCGUAA